GAAACCGAGUCUUAACCGGGCGUUAAGUUGCAGGGUAUAGACCCGAAACCCGGUGAUCUAGCCAUGGGCAGGUUGAAGGUUGGGUAACACUAACUGGAGGACCGAACCGACUAAUGUUGAAAAAUUAGCGGAUGACCUGUGGCUGGGGGUGAAAGGCCAAUCAAACCGGGAGAUAGCUGGUUCUCCCCGAAAGCUAUUUAGGUAGCGCCUCGUGAAUUCAUCUCCGGGGGUAGAGCACUGUUUCGGCUAGGGGGCCAUCCCGGCUUACCAACCCGAUGCAAACUGCGAAUACCGGAGAAUGUUAUCACGGGAGACACACGGCGGGUGCUAACGUCCGUCGUGAAGAGGGAAACAACCCAGACCGCCAGCUAAGGUCCCAAAGUCAUGGUUAAGUGGGAAACGAUGUGGGAAGGCCCAGACAGCCAGGAUGUUGGCUUAGAAGCAGCCAUCAUUUAAAGAAAGCGUAAUAGCUCACUGGUCGAGUCGGCCUGCGCGGAAGAUGUAACGGGGCUAAACCAUGCACCGAAGCUGCGGCAGCGACGCUUAUGCGUUGUUGGGUAGGGGAGCGUUCUGUAAGCCUGUGAAGGUGUGUCGUGAGGCAUGCUGGAGGUAUCA
This 615-nucleotide ribosomal RNA is filed under the name Salmonella enterica. RNAcentral describes it as "partial 23S ribosomal RNA". It matches the Rfam family "Bacterial large subunit ribosomal RNA", at positions 673 to 1284 of the family's 2925-position model. Lineage: Bacteria; Pseudomonadati; Pseudomonadota; Gammaproteobacteria; Enterobacterales; Enterobacteriaceae. The record is from RNAcentral.